Long non-coding RNA from Lactuca sativa (garden lettuce), 796 nucleotides. RefSeq lists it as uncharacterized. The record is from RefSeq and is a predicted model, not a curated record. NCBI's taxonomy places the organism in Eukaryota, Viridiplantae, Streptophyta, Magnoliopsida, Asterales, Asteraceae.
AGUUGGGGAAACUGAGAUCCAAGAGGAGAAACUAUGGAUGAACAUAUGGGAUUCCAGAUAUUGGGAUUUCUCAAACCUUUUCAUUCAAAGUUUUAAUUUAUUUUAGGGCUUUUACUCUUUUCCCCCUCUUUAACAACAUUUAUUUUUUUUUUCUUUUCUUGAUUUCAUUAUGUUUGUUUUUUUUAUUAGGUCAAGAGAAACUACUGAGGAAGAAUAUCAAGCCUUCAUGCUUAUCUAUCCCAACACUGGAAUCCUCUUUGCAUCGUGCCUAACAUUUUCAUGAAAAUCUCUUACGGCUUUAGGGAAUUUAAUUUCCAUGUAGUUUGGAUUAUUAUUAAAUCGAUGGUAAAUCGGAGGGUUAAAGGGCAUGUCAAGAAACGAGUACCAUUAGCAAUGAGUCAACAGAAACUGUGGGGGUCGAAGAUGAAGGUCUUCUCCAUCUAAUUAAUCAAUUCUCCAUUAUCUCUCUUUCUAUCUUCCCAAAGAACUACAACCAGACUCUUCGCAAAGUAAAUGAUUUGAGAAAUCGAUUGAAUUAAACUGGAGUGUAAUUGUUUUCAAUGUGAGAUUGUUUCGAGUUCUUGAUUAUAUAUGUUUAUGGGUAUGUUGUCUUUUUCUAGACCUUCUUUUCCCUUUUGAGGUCCUAUUGCUUUGGAACAUUGAGUUUACAUCAACGCCUCCUCUGUUUGCCGCCAUUCCUGGAUAGGUGUUUUUCAUGUUUAGUUCUAUUUUUGUAUUGUGGUUGAUGAAUCAUAUAGAAAUAUUCUAAUGAAAAAGACUUUGAUGAUGUUCCUUA